GAAAAAUAAGAACUCACUAGAAGAAAAAGGCUGAGCAAGAAACAAUGUUUUUUGGAAGCUUCCAUAAAACUAAUACUACUAUUUUUUGGAAGUUCAGGAAAAAAAUCCUCAUGAGUCCAGCAAGCUCCGAGCAGCUUCCAAACUCAGCUCUUCAUUCACCUGAAAGUCAUAAAGGUUUCCAAAGUAAACUUACAGCAGAAUUUUUUUAGGUGAUUGGCUAAAAUGAAAUGAAGAUACACAUUUUAAGCAAAUGAUACGUAGAGAAAGCAGGAAAAUUUUCUGCUUCUUCGGGAAGUAUAUACUUACAAGUUUCCUGUAAACUUGUUGAAAUGCCUUGCAAAAAGUUUCUGCUUCCGCUGGACCCAUCUGUAGAAAGCCA
RNAcentral lists this long non-coding RNA (379 nucleotides) under Nicotiana tabacum (common tobacco). RNAcentral's name for it is "long non-coding RNA (NTAB_LNC006664)". The record is from RNAcentral. Lineage: Eukaryota; Viridiplantae; Streptophyta; Magnoliopsida; Solanales; Solanaceae.